GUACUAUUUUUAUCCAAAAUAUUAUGAAGUUUCUAAGAUAGAAGCAAUGAUUUACUCAUGUGUUAAUAAACUUGUAUGUGAUGUGCUUAUAAACUUUUAUUUUAAUAAAACCUAAGUUUACUAUAAAUAUCUAAUAAAUUUUCAUAGAUAUAUAUAGGUACUCUUAUAAAUACCUGUAUGAUUAGAUAGAAGUAGAUAAAAGUAGAUAAAAGUAAAUUAAUUUCAUAAUAUCUUUGUGAGGAUAAAUUUUUCCCUCAUCUCGAAUUACAAGAUGGCCUCAAUUAAGAGUUACUUGUGAUUGGUGGU
RNAcentral lists this long non-coding RNA (306 nucleotides) under Physcomitrium patens. Its description in RNAcentral is "long non-coding RNA (PPAT_LNC003338)". Lineage: Eukaryota; Viridiplantae; Streptophyta; Bryopsida; Funariales; Funariaceae. The record is from RNAcentral.